GAUGAACGCUGGCGGCGUGCCUAAUACAUGCAAGUCGAGCGAACGGACGAGAAGCUUGCUUCUCUGAUGUUAGCGGCGGACGGGUGAGUAACACGUGGAUAACCUACCUAUAAGACUGGGAUAACUUCGGGAAACCGGAGCUAAUACCGGAUGAUAUUUUGAACCGCAUGGUUCAAAAGUGCAAGAGGGUUUUGCUGUCACUUAUAGAUGGAUCCGCGCUGCAUUAGCUAGUUGGUAAGGUAACGGCUUACCAAGGCAACGAUGCAUAGCCGACCUGAGAGGGUGAUCAGCCACACUGGAACUGAGACACGGUCCAGACUCCUACGGGAGGCAGCAGUAGGGAAUCUUCCGCAAUGGGCGAAAGCCUGACGGAGCAACGCCGCGUGAGUGAUGAAGGUCUUCGGAUCGUAAAACUCUGUUAUUAGGGAAGAACAUAUGUGUAAGUAACUGUGCACAUCUUGGCGGUACCUAAUCAGAAAGCCACGGCUAACUACGUG
This 497-nucleotide ribosomal RNA is filed under the name uncultured bacterium. RNAcentral's name for it is "partial 16S ribosomal RNA". It matches the Rfam family "Bacterial small subunit ribosomal RNA", at positions 28 to 507 of the family's 1533-position model. The record is from RNAcentral.